RNAcentral lists this ribosomal RNA (1503 nucleotides) under uncultured bacterium. RNAcentral describes it as "bacterial SSU rRNA". It matches the Rfam family "Bacterial small subunit ribosomal RNA". The record is from RNAcentral.
GACGAACGCUGGCGGCGUGCUUAACACAUGCAAGUCGUACGGAAAGGCCCCUUUUUGGGGUGCUCGAGUGGCGAACGGGUGAGUAACACGUGAGUAACCUGCCCUCAGUUCUGGGAUAAGCUUGGGAAACUGGGUCUAAUACUGGAUGUUCAUCUCGCGGCGCAUGUUGUGGGGUGGAAAGCCUGCUCUUUUGGGGUGGGUGGCUGGGGAUGGGCUCGCGGCCUAUCAGCUUGUUGGUGGGGUGAUGGCCUACCAAGGCUUUUACGGGUAGCCGGCCUGAGAGGGUGUUCGGUCACACUGGGACUGAGAUACGGCCCAGACUCCUACGGGAGGCAGCAGUGGGGAAUAUUGCACAAUGGGCGGAAGCCUGAUGCAGCGACGCCGCGUGAGGGAUGACGGCCUUCGGGUUGUAAACCUCUUUCAGCCUUGACGAAGUCGCCUGUCGCUUUGGUGGUGGGUGGUGACGGUAGGGGCAGAAGAAGCACCGGCCAACUACGUGCCAGCAGCCGCGGUAACACGUAGGGUGCGAGCGUUGUCCGGAUUUAUUGGGCGUAAAGGGCUCGUAGGUGGUUUGUCGCGUCGAUAGUGAAAACCUGUGGCUUAACUGUGGGCUUGCUGUCGAUACGGGCAGACUUGAGGUAGGCAGGGGAGAAUGGAAUUCCGGGUGUAACGGUGGAAUGUGCAGAUAUCCGGGGGGAACACCGGUGGCGAAAGCGGUUCUCUUGGGCCUUACCUGACGCUGAGGAGCGAAAGCGUGGGGAGCGAACAGGAUUAGAUACCCUGGUAGUCCACGCUGUAAACGUUGGGCGCUAGGUGUGGGAGACCUUUGUUGUUUUCCGUGCCGUAGCUAACGCAUUAAGCGCCCCGCCUGGGGAGUACGGCCGCAAGGCUAAAACUCAAAGGAAUUGACGGGGGCCCGCACAAGCGGCGGAGCAUGUUGCUUAAUUCGAAGCGACGCGAAGAACCUUACCUGGGUUUGACAUGCAAACUAAAGCCGUAGAGAUACGGUGUCCCUUUGUGGGGUUUGUGCAGGUGGUGCAUGGCUGUCGUCAGCUCGUGUCGUGAGAUGUUGGGUUAAGUCCCGCAACGAGCGCAACCCUUGCCCCAUGUUGCCAGCGGGUUAUGCCGGGGACUCGUGGGGGACUGCCGGGGAGAACUCGGAGGAAGGUGGGGAUGAGGUCAAGUCAUCAUGCCCCUUAUGUCCAGGGCUGCUAACAUGCUACAAUGGUCGGUACAGUGGGUUGCGAGACCGUGAGGUGGAGCGAAUCUCUGAAAGCCGGCCUCAGUUCGGAUCGGGGUCUGCAACUCGACCCCGUGAAGUUGGAGUCGCUAGUAAUCGCGGAUCAGCAACGCCGCGGUGAAUACGUUCCCGGGCCUUGUACACACCGCCCGUCAAGUCAUGAAAGUUGGCAACACCCGAAGCCCAUGGUCUAACCCCCUUCGGGGGGAGGGCGUGGUCGAAGGUGGGGCUGGCGAUUAGGACUAAGUCGUAACAAGGUAACC